GUCAUGGCUCAGAACGAACGCUGGCGACAGGCUUAACACAUGCAAGUUGAACGGGAUUGUUAAGUAGCUUGCUAUUUAACAAGAGAGUAGCGCACUGGUGAGUAACACGUGGGAACGUACCUUUUGGUGGGGGACAACAUCUGGAAACGGAUGCUAAUACCGCAUAAGACCUGAGGGUGAAAGAUUUAUCGCCGAAAGAACGGCCCGCGGAAGAUUAGGCAGUUGGUGGGGUAAAGGCCUACCAAACCUACGAUCUAUAG
Molecule: ribosomal RNA, 260 nt
Filed under: uncultured bacterium
Lineage: Bacteria
Description: partial 16S ribosomal RNA
Rfam family: Bacterial small subunit ribosomal RNA
Source: RNAcentral